Molecule: long non-coding RNA, 958 nt
Organism: Perca fluviatilis (European perch)
Lineage: Eukaryota; Metazoa; Chordata; Actinopteri; Perciformes; Percidae
Exons: 3
Source: RefSeq, a predicted model, not a curated record
GGGAAGGAGCGAGCGUGAGAGAAAACAUCACGAAGUCGAAAAACCAAGAUAAAAUAUCAGCAGUGUGUUAAGACCCCAACACUAUUUUACCUAAUUUCACUUAAUUAGGUUGCACGUUAGUGAGUCUGUGUGUAUUUUUAAAGUCUGUGAGUUACUUAAAAAUGCUUAGCUGUUGGCCGCUAUGCUAGCCGAAGUAACGAUGCUAACCGCAUAGCUAGGCUGCUAACAAUAGUUUCUAGAAGUUAAUUUAUGUGGCUACUAAAAAAAGUGACCCAAGAAUGAGUGUGAGCUUGGACCCAACACAGUAUUCAAGUUCAGAUGGGCCCCACGGUGACCAGGAAAGCUGUGUGGGCUCUCAGAUGAAGACACCCGUUGGACUGAUGAGAUGUUAGAUAGCGCCAUUUGUGACCAGAAAAGCCCUUGGGUGCCUCUGAGGAAGAUUUCAGCCUGCUGUCACCUUCUACUCUCCGACACAAGUCGUCUCUCCAGGACAGUAACAGAACUGCGGUGUGAUGGCGCUGCAGCAGAGAGAGAAAGAUCUGGGUGACCAUCUGAAACCAAUUAUGGCGCCGCUGCAGCCACCCAGAAACUCAGUGACGGAUGGGGAUCUUGUAUUUAUAGCUGGGGCUUUAUCUCCAUUCUACGAUCCAAGACCAAGCUGCCUGGAGUCCCAUGGGUGAUCUGCCCUGUCCCCUCUAAUCUGGCCGAGCUGCUGCGAUUCCAUCACUCCCGGCGAACCACACAGAAAGAUUAGUCAGACUCUACGUACAACAGAUGUGUCCAACACUUGAUUUGUGUGUGUUUUAUUGACUCUGGCCAUCUGUUAAUACAGUUGCUGGUUCCUCCUCAUGUGUUUGUUGAUGCACACAGACAGGGGAGCUGAGUGCCAGAAGAAACAUUCAGCAAAGGAGAGAUGAGAGAGAGAUAGAAGGACAGAGAGAGAGAAUGGAUUUAGAGG